UGGUUUAUAAGAUUGAAAAAUUGCUUUUUAAUUCCCACCUAAUGUUUUCCAGUAAAUUUUAGUGUGGCAUUGUCUGCGUUGGAUAGGUCAAUGAAUGGUGCUUUUAUAAAAAUGUUUGAGAAGAAGAACUCAGUCCCUGGAAAUUGUUCAAAUAAUCUUGUUAGAAUGAAGCCUUGACUGAAGGCAGUAAUUUCAUGGAUUAAACCCAGAAGGGGCUGUCUAGGCUGAUCUCCUUCCUAUCGCAGGCUACGGAGCUUUUAUCCAGAGACUGUCUAGGCAAAUACUGGCUAGCUACAAGACAUAGGGGAUUUUGCAUGGCCAGUACAUUGAACAACACCAUGAAACUAGAAACUGUGGAACUUUUUGAUGACGGGGUAAGUGGGAGCAGGAAGAAAGAGUAUUUUUACAGGCAAGGUAGUAGACAGCAUAAGGUGGAGUUGUGGCAUCUUACUAUGUUCAGCUUUUCCCUAAAAAGUACCAAUUAAAAGUAAGAGAAAGAGUUUUUUCCAAUCCAUCCUUUUAUCUUGCAUGCUACAUGUAGUCCAGAACAGAGCGACAUGAUGGGCAGUCCACGUAUGGGAAGGAACAUGUUGAUCUCUACUUCUGCAAGUCUGCAAAGCAGAAAUUAUGAGGAAAAACCCAGCACUGUGAAACCUGCAAAGAAAGAGGGAUGGGGGCGUACAGCGAGAAACUACAUGCUUUGACAGAAGUCAGAGGACUGGAAUACUUUGUCUGAAAACUAAAACUUCUUGAUUUGAAAAAGGUUACUGUAGUCUUCCUCCAACAUUAUAAUCUGGGUGCCUGCUGGUCCUAUUCUGCAAGGCUGAGGCUGCCUACCACCUUCGACACUGUGCCAUGAUCUUUCCUCUUUGAAGGGAGUGCUAGAAGUAGGGAAACCCUCAAAGUGAUCUGUUAUUAGAGUUGUCAUUUAAAUGGUAAGUCUUGUUGAUAAAGGAGAUCUGCCACGUAAAGCAGGUAAGCCGCACAUUUAAUGAGAUGCUACACUAGCAUUUCUUAAUAACACUUUUUGUUUUCAAUCAAAAUAUUUUGGUUUGUAAGUUUGGCUUUUUGGUAAGAAAAGUGUAUUUGCAGAAGCACAUACUUAGACAUGCCAAAAAAAAAAAAAAAAUCCAACCAAAAAGUGUUUAGCUGAAAGCCUCGUUUCCCAUCAAAAAUAGAUGCAGUGGAAAAUUUUCAAGCAGCCCUAUAUUUAACCUCCUUGGAUCAAAAUUCAGUUGUUGGACUGAGGGAGGCUCACAGAGGGUUUUUUGCUGCUUUUGUUAGGGUGUCUGUUUUUUCACUCAUGACAUCUGCCUGCUUUUCCAGCUAUAUUCAACCUUGUCAAUUCUUGCUAUUGCAGCAUUUUACUGUGCUCAGAAUGCUAGUUCCCACUGGACUCAACUUGCUGGGAUAUGUGCAAACUGAAAGUUUCUUUCAAGGGCUGCUUUUGGAAGCAGGAUACUGAGCUAAACGGACCUUUGAUCUGAAUUGGCAUAGCCAUCCUUGGGUAAGGAGAAGUACACUGAUAAAUGAGUAAGUCUGGGCUUUGGCAAUCUGGAAUUCAGCAAUGUUUAUCAGAAAUGAAACUCCUUCCUCCAAAAAAAGUGUAAGCCAAUCUCAAAAGAUAAGAGCUUGGGGACAGAGAAUUUAAUCUGAAUAGGUUGUGAUUCUGAAGUAUCAAGCUCUCUGUUGGUUUUUUUAAUUGUUUUUGCAGCUUCCAUUUCGCUUUCACAUCUUGUAGCAGUAAGUAUUUGCUACAACUGUGUCUUAAAUACAACUGUGAGCCUUUUUGGGUGUUCUUCUAAAGUUGGUGAAUAGAACAUUAGUAUAAGACUCCUGCAGAGCUCACUGGACUUUGUAUUAAGACAAGAAGAGAAAACAAAAUGAAUAUUGAAAUUCAGGGAGGAAAGUUGUUAAUAUGACCUACAUUAGUUUUAGUAUGUGUUGUGUUCUGUCAUUAGUUCAGUGUUAGAAUGCAGUUUGUAGCCAGAAUCUAUCAGCAACUGGCAACAUGUGGUAUUUCUUAAGCAAAAGUUGAUAGUUAUUCUUUAUUACUUGUUUUGCAUCUUAGCACUCUUACAGAAAUACCUUUCCAGAUAUUUUAAACUUUGUUUUCAUGGCACUUUAAUUUAGAUCGCUUCAUGACUGCUAAGCAAUACUAUGCAUUUUUUAGCCUUCACAUGCAUUAAUGAUCAAAUCUGUAAAUGAGCAUAUGCUUAGUUUUGUAAGACAGCAGCUAAUUUUUUUCUAUAUUUUUAAUAAGCUCUUUAGAAGUUUUACGAUUACCUGAAAGUAGAUAUAUCUAGUUAUACUCCUGUGUACUUAAGUUUAUUUAGUAGUUACACUGACCAAAAUAGAUGGGGUGUCUUUUAUUUCUUUUCCUGACAGGGUAUACAUUUUUCCUUCAAAUUUGUGUCAGCAGAAUUUGAUUAUAGUACAUUGUCAGUAGAUGACCAUAAUUUCGCUCUUCCCUGUUAUUAUUUUAAAGAAAUAUUUGCAAGAAAAGAUAGUAGCCAGACAACAUUGGAAAGGAAGAAAUAGUUUCAGUAUUGUUGAGAAAGAGAUUCAUUAUUCUAAUACCAAAAUUGUGGUGGGAAAGUGGAUGGAGAAAGGAAAGCACAAUAUUGGAGUAUAAGAGUGAGGUCCUAUGGUACCACCUUCCAGCUGUUCAUGUGUGGAAUCCAAAUACUUUUUGAAGCAUAGUGCUACACAGUCAAUUAGCUUUACUUCAAGUAAUCAUUGUAUAGGGAAGAAAUUUUAGUACAUUAGAAUUCAUGAGUUGGAAAAAGUAGCAAAAAAAAUUACGUCCAUGUUUUCCUAAAAAUGCAGUGAAAAUAUGUAAAUUCUUUUAAAAUUAACUUAGAAAUCUCAUGAAGUGAAAGAAGAGAUUGUAAUCCUCUCCCUAAAGUGUGUCAAGAAUGGCGAGAACAGUGCAACCUCUCUCACAUCAUUUAUUUGCCUUAAUCUGAAUCUUAAUGAUAGUGUCAAGAAGUGAGAAGCAAGUAGAGUUGCCAAAUAUGUCCACUCUUUUGAAACUGGAAGAAUUGUGGGAAGUAAUUGGGUGUGAAAUAAACGUGUUCACAAGUAAUUGGACUGAGACUAUUAAAUUUCUUUCAUUUAAGUGGUAGGUAGUAACUACUUAAACUUCGAGGAAGAGAGCAGAUUACAUCCUGCAAAACUUUCUCAUGCAAAAUAGUAUAUCCUCAUGUCAGUGAUCCUGGUUACCUUUAAGUGUCUGCUUAGUUGAGAAAAGUUUUGUCAAAUCAGGUCUUUAAAUGGGAGAGGGGAUUAGGAAACAACAAACAAAAUCCAGCUUGCAGUGGGAUUUAACUUUUGGGGGUGUGGGGCAGAGAAUGGACAAUGAAUAUCAUCAUCUUUUCAAUGUUCAGUACUAUCAAAACUGUUUUUCUUACAGGUAACCCUUUAUUGGCAGAAAAUUUGUGAAAGAGUCAGUGAAGGAAAAUGCUGUGGUAAAACACAUAUAAAGAAUCUCAUGCCAAAACCUGGAGGGUUGAGGGAUAUAUCUUCUACAGGUUUAGGAAAUGAUAAGGGUAGAUUGAAAAAGUGUUACUGUGCUUAAAAAGCCUAAUUGUUGUUGUGUAUAUCAGUCUCGUGUCUGUUUUAUACAGCUGUUUGUGCUAUCUCACUGGUGGUUUUGAAACAGUAUUUUUCAAGGGUCACUAAUUUGGAUUGGAAUAUAAGAAAUAGUUAUUUUUAUGGGUAGUAAAGCCGAAUGUCAUAAUUUGCACUUUUAAAUAAGCUGCUUCAUUCUGUAUGUAAAACAAAAUAACUUCAACAUGCUUGGGUUUGUAAUUAAAAAAUGUAGAGUUGAUGAGAAAUAUCUUCCCUAGUAUGAUGCAUGGAGAUUAGGUUAGACUGUGUUACAGAAUAAUGUAAUAAUAAUGAUUUCCUUAAGAGAGUACAAAAGCAGCAUCUAAGUUUCAGUUGAUGUUUACUGACACACAGCAUCAGUUGGGAGCCCUAUCAAACUUCCUAUUCUUUUCUGCUUACCACCUCCUGCUUUUAUUUACAGUCAGCAUAUCUGUUAAUUAGCCUCAGGUAGAGCCAGUUCUUCUAAGAAGAUCUCUUGUCUUCCUGGUGAUGGCCCCAUGAGGUGACCUUGUACACACAGUCUGUGAGUGAAUUAAUCUUUAACUCAUUAAUUUCAGUGCCUGAUUCUGACAUGUUUAACUGCUGCCUCGGUUUCCUACUCAGCAAUUAGUAUUUGGAGAAUUGUGGGCCUUGACUCCCAUUGACUUCAAUGUCAUGAACACAUCCCAGUGAGCUCUCAGCAUCUCGUGGUUACCUCACUGGAAGUCAUGUUUUCUUGUAGUUUUUUGGUUUGCUAUGAUUAGACCAGAAUGCAGAUAGCUCGUUGGUGACUUCCAGGUAAAUGCUCUGUAUCACAGGUUAUUUACCUAGUUUUCAUUGCACUUUUGCAGAAUAAAAUAACUCCUCCACUUCCUCAGCUAUCUCUGUCACACAAUAUCUGAAUGCAACAUUGCGCAAAAAAUCUGAUGUAACGGUGCAACGCCUGGAUCUCACAAGGGGGUACUCUGUAGGGAACCGUACUAUUUUAUAGAGUGUCACCAACCUCAGUUAGACCUAGUGAUGAUACGAAGCUGUUUAUAACCACAGCCUGAAUGCUAGAGGUGGUUGUAGUGCACUUCUCUCACAGCAUGGCUUGUUUAUUAGAAAAGAAAAAAGUUGCAGUUAUAUUUGCAGGAAAAAUUCAGGAGCAUGAUUCAGAGAUCUCCUGCCCAAAUCUACAAGGUAUGCUGGAAGUGCUCUGAGAGGUGUGAGCUGAUCUGUGCCUCUCACUGGGGUGUUAGAAAUCUUGUCCUUUCAGUGUUAAUGGUUGUGUUUGUUUCAUCUGAAACCUAAGAAAAGAAAGACUGGGCCACUUACCUGCCCAGUCAACUGUAGGUAAUGUCUUAAAGUGAUGUCCAAAUUCCUCACUUUUGCCAGAAUGCCAUUUAUUCCUUCUCCAUCUUCCAGUUGAGGAGUAGCUAAACUCUAAAGACCUAAGCAUAAGUUACAGGUGCCCUUGAAAUCCUGCUCGGAGCAAGUGCAAGUAUGGAAAGGCAUGAAGUACACACUGUGGUAGUGUGAGCAUUUUCACAAUUUGAUGAGAGCUUUACUGAUAAAAAUUUACUGCUUCAGUUUAAAAAAAAGCAAUAACAACAACGACAACAACAACAAUAAUAAUAAUAAUAAUGCACACACCCCCCUCAACCAACCAACAGUAUAAUCCCUGGAAUACAUCCAACUUUUAUACUGGAAAAAUACCUCAAAGUAGUAUGACUUUCUCUCUUCAGUGUAGAAGUAUUUGAGCUGAUCUAAAACACUUGAUGCUGGCACAGUUGCAUCCCAAUGUCUAAUUUUUGUGGAUAGGCAGACCUACAUGAAGUAACUUGGUUUUAAAGGAAUUAGAAACCCUAAUUCCUUUAAAUCAAAUUCCUAAGACAUCCAGGUGUCCAGGAUGCUGUGAAAAGAGACAUAAAAAUCAAAAAAGAGGUGGUGAAUAUUUCCUACUGAUGGCUCAUGGCUUUGGAAGGUUAGUGGUGAUGCAGUGUUGUGACAAAAAAUCAGUGAAAAAGUAUCAGUGAAAGUUUCCACCAUCUUUAAUUGUAAGAAGCCAAUGCUGACUGAUCUGUUAAAGUUUCAUGGGGAAAGUCAACACUGAGGGAAAAAAAGGUGGGUGAUAUUUCUUCAAAACAUGUUAACUGCUUCUAUGUAUUUUAUGGUUGAACAACAAAAAAGAUAAGAGAUGCUGGAAAUGGUUUCUAGAAUUCAGUGGCCCUUCAUCAGUAUUUUAUAGGUACUGUUUAAGCCAUCUUUGUUAAGGAGAAGCUCUUUUACUAUUAGUAUGCUGUCAUCUUUCAAAUCUCAUCAAGGCAGCACCAGGAUUUUUUUUGCACAGAUUUCCUUUGACACACAGCCUCAGUAAGUAUGGAAAUUACAACUUAAAUCUCAUUUUUUUUGCUUGCAAAGCAGUGCAGUGCCCAAAUUCAAUGAAUUUCAACUUUUAUUUUUUCUUAAUGUUGAAAGACAGAUAUGCAAAUUUUACUAACAAUAUGCAUGGUUAAAUUUAGCUGUAAAUUCCAGUAAGGGAUUUCUGCUUUGUUUAUUGUCCAAGUCAAUAUAUCUGUGGAGAAAACCUCCCACUGUGCAGGAAUACAUAGUCAGCUACUUGGAAAAGUGGAAAGUUUAAUUAUGAGAGUUUAUUCUGGAAAAAGGUAGAGUAAAACAAGCACUGGUUUUUUUGUUUGGUUUUUUUUAUCAUGACUUCAGCUAACAGAAAUACAACAUAUAUGGUUUGUUUUGACACUAACUGUUAUCAGACAAACCACUUGAUUUUUCUUUAACCUGGUCAUCUGUGUAACUGAGGGGGUCUGAAAGGAAGUAGAGGUCAUGAAUAAAUGAUGUAUUUCUUAAACUUGCAAGGUAGAUCGUGACAUAAAUGAAAUAAAAUAGAAGUGUGAAGAAAAAAAAAGUGUAAAUAUGUACUGCUGAGAAUAUCUUCAUUAAAAUAUAGUUACCCUAUGAAGAUAUUAGUAUCAGGUUGCCUGAAAGAUGCAAAUUUACUUUGUUGAUGUCUCAUAACUUAUUUUGAUUUUUGUGCGUGGUAACAGUGAAGUAUCUUUACACAAGGUUUCUGAGUGGAAGGGUAAAUUAUUGCUGGGGAAUAUGUGUUAUAAACGAUAUACAAACAUGUUUAUAACAGAAAGCUCUCCAAGAUUUUAAUUACAGGAGUGGUUCCCAUUUCUUCAGUUUUUAUAAGUAAUUUACAUGGAAUACAUUUUAUCUAGCUAUCUAUUUAAACAAAACACUGCAAUGCAAAGAAGGCAUUUCUCCUGCCUGCCUAGCGUAUAUGUAAUACUGUAAAAAUCUGUAUUCCUCCUUGUGGUUCAAUGCCUAUUUCUCCUUUCUAAGCCUGUUCAACUGUAACAUGAAGAAUGUUUUUAUGAUAUUUCUACAACGGAUGAUAGUAAUUAGAUUUACUCUAAGCAAUAAAAUUUUUAGAAAGCGUUAUGGCUAAUAUUUGGGUUGCAUGACUUUCGUCAGAUGUGUAGGCAUAUUCCUUUUUUCUUUGCAUCUGUGUAGGACCGAUCCACAACCUGAGCUUGUAGGUUCUACAGUAAUACAAAUAGUACAUGAUAAUUGUGUGUGAAGAAAGGCUGGCAGCUUUACAGAGGAAAUUUCUGAACCUGUAGGUAGGUUCAGGAUAGCAAUUGCCUGUAACUUCCCUUCCCCCAUACUCUGCAUUUCUACAAUACAGCUGCUCUUCUAAUGCUUUUACUGAGUCUCAUUAAAUGGUCCUAUGUGUAGGACAUUAAAUGUAUUUAUGGUAGAGUGGGAGUUUUGUUCUGAGUCACUGGUGCAUCAAGAGUUUCUUCAUAAUAUUCUUCUGGUUGCCUAAUACAGGGAGACAGGCACCAGAGAGGCAUGUACACUGAUGCCUUAUGGUAGCGAUCCUUGAGCCCGAAUCCUAAGAGAUGUGGGGGUGGCUAAUUUCCUGGAGAACUGAGUGGGAGUUUAAGUUCCUAAGUAGGAUUUAGGAGCCUAAAUACCUUGGAAUUCUCCAUGAAUAAAGCUUAGUUGCAAUAUAGCCCCUUAGUUCUCCACACAUCCCUGCAUUCUUCCAUACAUGUUCCUCAUUGGCUAUUUACUGUUAAUUGGCAAUUUGGAUGCUUAAUUAUGCUUCUGUUUUGGGAUAUGUUUCUUCCUAGUCUUAUCCUGUAUUUCUUUGGACUGUCUGUUUCUUUUCAGCUCUUUCCACUCUUAUAUUUUGUGUACCUAAUAAAGGCACUUGCACACUUAAUUUCCAGUGACUAGCUACCCUCUCACAUUGGCAUGUAUGAAACAUAAGACCUUUGGUAUUAAUAGAGCUAGCUACCUUGUAAAGAUGCUAUAAAAGGGAUCAUUAAGUCUCAAAAUUGAUAGGGAUCUGACUAUUUUGUCCACUCAUUCUGUUUUUUGAUCAAUGUAUGCCCAAUAUGCAAGUUGUGUAUUAGCCAAAUUCUACGUCGUUUGACUGACAAAAAGGGUGGGCUAGGGGUGCUUGCCACAGGUAGUUAAAUAAUGCAAAACCUUGUCAGUCUAAUGCUUUUGUCACUGAAAUGACUAUGCUGGUUGCUCUUCUGAAACUAGUAAUAGUAAAUCAGGGCAUAAAUCAAUCUUUCCUCUGGCUGUGUAUGAUCCAACUUCUCUAUUCUCUAGUUCGCUACACAGGUUAUCUGGAACUGAAGUGCACAAUGAGAGCAUAACGCUUUCUUCCUGUGCUAGACUUUUAACUUCCACAGUACAAUUUUCCUUAAAGUGUAGCAGAGGUUGAAAGGAAUGAAAACAGAUGUAAACAAGGACUCUAGUGUUAAAGAAUGCUCUGUAAAAUCUACCAUCCUUCAAUCGCAGUGCAUCUUUUUUCAUGUGAUCAUGAGCCAAAUUUUCCUCAGGACCACAGUGGUGGUCAGCAAGAGGGAUCCCUUGCCCUGUGUCCUGGCAAAUAACCUACAGAUGUUGGCUUCUGCUGCAGCCCAAAUGAUGAGCUAGACAAGUGUCCGUAGCUGCUGUAGGGGGAUGAUGAGGGAAAGAGAAAGCUUCUAGGCCUAGGAGGAGUAGGGAAAGGGUGAAUGAGUAGAGGUGGGGGGGUCCCAAUUCUUUCAACACAGUUGGUAUUGUACCACACUCCUUUUUUAAAAGGUGAGUAAAGUUAUACCAGGGGAAUGAGAAUGGAAGAAGUGUAUUCCAGCCCCUGAGUGGGGUGACAGCAUUGUCUUAUCUGUGGGGCUUAGGGACUUUGACAGAGAAAGUCUAAGGGCAUGCAAUGCUGAGGGUACAUAGGCCAGCAAGCACACAGGAAAGAGGAUAUUGUCCUGUCAAGGACUGGUGUCCAGGGUGAUUGGAUUUUUGGACAGUAGUGCUAAAUGGAUGGAAGAAAGAGUGUUGGAAGGGCAGUGAAUAAGGUGUGGAUGGAAGGGGGCAUGUGCUCUGUGUUGCUGUUGCCUCAUUGCAAAAUUGUUCCCCUUCAGUGUUGUUUGCAAGAAUAAAGCUGAUUUAUGAGAGUAAAUUGGUUUCUGGACUAAUACCAGUGUUUUUCUCAGCUAGUGGUAUGUGAACAGUUUUCCUACAGUCCCAGUUUUGCCACAGUUCUGGCUAUGAGUACACUUAGUGGAUUAUAAAAAAUGCUAAAAUAGUUUUAAAAAAAAAAUUAGGAGUAGGAUACAGUUUGCAGUAGUGCUACAGACUGCUUUUUGCUUGUGAAACUUGUUUUCUUUAUAUUCAAUAAAGAAACUUUCAUUAAUUAAUUAAAUUAAUGUGAUUGACUGUUUCUUGUAGCUCAGAGAUUCAUGCUGCUUGGCUAAUCAAUGGCCAUGAGUGUUGCAUGUGUAAGUAGUUAGAAACACUUCGUUGUAUUCAUGCUGAUUUUUAUCAUAAGGCAUCAUCGCUUGUACUGAGGAACACCCCAGGUGGACCGUGGCCCUUGCACUCCACCUCAGUGAGGGGUGCUUUCAAAAGGCCUUAUCUACUGCCACAUCAGUGCAAGGCCUAAACGUAUUCCAUAAAUAAUCUCAUAGCAUCAGAAAGCAACUGAACUGGAGAUGAUGAGAAUACGGUAAACUAGGUUAGGAACACGUACAACGUUGGUGAUCCUUGAGGGACACUCUGCAACUCUGCCUGUGGCAGCAUGGCUUCUUCCAAUCUUCUCUUCAGCUGUGGGGUUGUUGCCUAAUGCCAUAUGCUAGGUCUAUGUAGUUAACUAUGAACCUUGUAUAUGAAAGCUAUCUAGCUGCUCUCAAACCAGUAUUGUUAACUUUCUACCUAAUGAUGCUGAUUGAUUAAAAUGAAAGAUGUUUGUACUUGGU
Molecule: long non-coding RNA, 9866 nt
Organism: Aquila chrysaetos chrysaetos
Lineage: Eukaryota; Metazoa; Chordata; Aves; Accipitriformes; Accipitridae
Exons: 3
Source: RefSeq, a predicted model, not a curated record